This 22-nucleotide non-coding RNA is filed under the name Arabidopsis thaliana (thale cress). Lineage: Eukaryota; Viridiplantae; Streptophyta; Magnoliopsida; Brassicales; Brassicaceae. The record is from RNAcentral.
GCUCGAGUGUCUAGUUGAGUGU